Molecule: ribosomal RNA, 468 nt
Filed under: uncultured bacterium
Lineage: Bacteria
Description: partial 16S ribosomal RNA
Rfam family: Bacterial small subunit ribosomal RNA
Source: RNAcentral
GACGAACGCCGGCGGCGUGCUUAACACAUGCAAGUCGAACGGAAAGGCCCUGCUUUUGUGGGGUGCUCGAGUGGCGAACGGGUGAGUAACACGUGAGUAACCUGCCCUUGACUUUGGGAUAACUUCAGGAAACUGGGGCUAAUACCGGAUAGGAGCUCCUGCUGCAUGGUGGGGGUUGGAAAGUUUCGGCGGUUGGGGAUGGACUCGCGGCUUAUCAGCUUGUUGGUGGGGUAGUGGCUUACCAAGGCUUUGACGGGUAGCCGGCCUGAGAGGGUGACCGGCCACAUUGGGACUGAGAUGCGGCCCAGACUCCUACGGGAGGCAGCAGUGGGGAAUAUUGCACAAUGGGCGGAAGCCUGAUGCAGCAACGCCGCGUGCGGGAUGACGGCCUUCGGGUUGUAAACCGCUUUCGCCUGUGACGAAGCGUGAGUGACGGUAAUGGGUAAAGAAGCACCGGCUAACUACGUG